UGGGGAAUAUUGGACAAUGGGCGAAAGCCUGAUCCAGCCAUGCCGCGUGAGUGAAGAAGGCCUUAGGGUUGUAAAGCUCUUUCAGCGGGGAAGAUAAUGACGGUACCCGCAGAAGAAGUCCCGGCUAACUUCGUGCCAGCAGCCGCGGUAAUACGAAGGGGACUAGCGUUGUUCGGAUUUACUGGGCGUAAAGCGCGCGUAGGCGGAUCACUAAGUCAGGGGUGAAAUCCCGAGGCUUAACCUCGGAACUGCCUUUGAUACUGGAGAUCUGGAGAUCGGGAGAGGUUGGUGGAAUUCCGAGUGUAGAGGUGAAAUUCGUAGAUAUUCGGAGGAACACCAGAAGCGAAGGCGGCCAACUGGCCCGAUACUGACGCUGAGGCGCGAAAGCGUGGGGAGCAAA
Molecule: ribosomal RNA, 400 nt
Filed under: uncultured bacterium
Lineage: Bacteria
Description: bacterial SSU rRNA
Rfam family: Bacterial small subunit ribosomal RNA
Source: RNAcentral